Molecule: long non-coding RNA, 1217 nt
Organism: Oreochromis aureus
Lineage: Eukaryota; Metazoa; Chordata; Actinopteri; Cichliformes; Cichlidae
Exons: 2
Source: RefSeq, a predicted model, not a curated record
UGCAGCUGGCUGCUUUGUUCAGCAUCGAUCCCGUGGAGCUUGGCAUUUAACGGCCUGCAUUAGGACGGAGAGAAGGGAGAAAACAUUUUGUCAAUACUUCUAAUAAUUGAGGGUGAAAAUGACAAGAUAAGCUGGACCUGGAGCAAAUGUCUUUCGAGGUGAAUGUAGGCAGCGGCGGGUUGAGGGUACGCCUCCAUCCCCUCUUGGCAGCUCCAUCUCCUCCUCGCCUCCCCCUGUCUCUCCACCCUCUCCCUGGUUGGUUUCCACAGCUGUGGUGAGUGAGGGGCAGAUGACCGGAGAAUUGGCCCCUGGGAGAGCGCUGAGCCAUCCUGGUGCUAUUAGGCUCGUGGCUAAUAAUAGGUGUUUCAGACCGGGGGAAGAUCAAUCAGGGGGAAUCAUGGGGAAUGUUCAGAGCAGCGCUUUUUACACAUCGGCCCAGAUGGAUGAAAUUACACUUGUCAGUUUUUAGUUGCAUUACUCACAAAUUGGUUGUCUACUCUUUUUUCUCCCCCCCCCUCCCUCCCUCUCCCUCUCUCUCCCUCCCUCGCUCCCUCUUCUCUCCUUUCUCUCUCUUUGCCCCCAUUCAUGUGUCAGUGGCCCGCUAAAAGGAUUCGGUGGUGAAAUCCCUGUCAUUUUUGUCUUUUCCCUGUUUAGCCCUCAGCCGGCAUCUCUUUUGCCUGCAUGUAUGCACUUAGGAGAAAUCAGCAGAAGAUCUCGCCUCGGCCACUUUCAGUGCUGAAGUGCGCGCAACUGACAUUCUGUUCGAGUCCUGCAUGUAUAAUAAAAAAAACAAAAAAACAUUUAAUUGGAAAGAGAUCAACUGACAGAAAACGAAUGACGAUAAAUGUCAGUGAUUUUCCUUUCCUUUCCACUGCGAGGGUGUUCGGAUUUUUAUGUUUCCCACUGUAUGUAUGCAAUAUGAAAGUCUUUUCUUAGUUAAGAUCUAACACACUAACUGUUGUCAGUUCAAAGAUGACAUAAGAAUCCGCCCUGUAUUUUAUAGUUCAGAGUAAAAAUUUGGGCUUUCGAAUCAUUCAUUGCAUAUUUACAUAAAUUCUGUAGCUAAACCAAAUUGCUAAAUGUGUGAAAUUCAAUAAUUAUAUUGUUACUUCUGAAUAAUCCUGUAUAAUUGCAAUGUAAUUAAACCUGUCAAGUGCAAAUGAGACAUUCGGGCUGUAUCUCACUGUUUGAAAGUGAAUAAAAUUCACCAUGCAAUA